Molecule: ribosomal RNA, 253 nt
Filed under: uncultured bacterium
Lineage: Bacteria
Description: partial 16S ribosomal RNA
Rfam family: Bacterial small subunit ribosomal RNA
Source: RNAcentral
GACGAACCGUGCGAACGUUGUUCGGAAUCACUGGGCUUAAAGGGCGCGUAGGCGGGGUCCCAAGUUCGGGGUGAAAUCUUUCGGCUUAACCGGAAAACAGCCUUGAAUACUGGGAGUCUCGAGCGAGGUAGGGGCAGCUGGAACUUCCGGUGGAGCGGUGAAAUGCGUUGAUAUCGGAAGGAACGCCGGUGGCGAAAGCGAGCUGCUGGACCUUUUCUGACGCUGAGGCGCGAAAGCCAGGGGAGCAAACGGG